RNAcentral lists this ribosomal RNA (307 nucleotides) under Escherichia coli. Its description in RNAcentral is "bacterial SSU rRNA". It matches the Rfam family "Bacterial small subunit ribosomal RNA", at positions 132 to 441 of the family's 1533-position model. The record is from RNAcentral. RNAcentral also lists the same sequence under 1 other name. Lineage: Bacteria; Pseudomonadati; Pseudomonadota; Gammaproteobacteria; Enterobacterales; Enterobacteriaceae.
GAUGGAGGGGGAUAACUACUGGAAACGGUAGCUAAUACCGCAUAACGUCGCAAGACCAAAGAGGGGGACCUUCGGGCCUCUUGCCAUCGGAUGUGCCCAGAUGGGAUUAGCUAGUAGGUGGGGUAACGGCUCACCUAGGCGACGAUCCCUAGCUGGUCUGAGAGGAUGACCAGCCACACUGGAACUGAGACACGGUCCAGACUCCUACGGGAGGCAGCAGUGGGGAAUAUUGCACAAUGGGCGCAAGCCUGAUGCAGCCAUGCCGCGUGUAUGAAGAAGGCCUUCGGGUUGUAAAGUACUUUCAGCG